CCUACGGGAGGCUGCAGUGAGGAAUAUUGGUCAAUGGACGAGAGUCUGAACCAGCCAAGUAGCGUGAAGGAUGACUGCCCUAUGGGUUGUAAACUUCUUUUAUAUGGGAAUAAAACGUUCCACGUGUGGGAUUUUGUAUGUACCAUAUGAAUAAGGAUCGGCUAACUCCGUGCCAGCAGCCGCGGUAAUACGGAGGAUCCGAGCGUUAUCCGGAUUUAUUGGGUUUAAAGGGAGCGUAGGUGGAGUGUUAAGUCAGUUGUGAAAGUUUGCGGCUCAACCGUAAAAUUGCAGUUGAAACUGGCAGUCUUGAGUACAGUAGAGGUGUGCGGAAUUCGUGGUGUAGCGGUGAAAUGCUUAGAUAUCACGAAGAACUCCGAUUGCGAAGGCAGUUCACUGGACUGCAACUGACACUGAGGCUCGAAAGUGUGGGUAUCAAACAGGAUUAGAUACCCUUGUAGUC
Molecule: ribosomal RNA, 460 nt
Filed under: uncultured bacterium
Lineage: Bacteria
Description: partial 16S ribosomal RNA
Rfam family: Bacterial small subunit ribosomal RNA
Source: RNAcentral